CAAUAAGCGGAGGAAAAGAAACCAACAGGGAUUGCCCCAGUAACGGCGAGUGAAGCGGCAACAGCUCAAAUUUGAAAUCUGGCUCUCGGGCCCGAGUUGUAAUUUGGAGAGGAUGCUUUUGGCGCGGCGCCUUCCGAGUUCCUUGGAACAGGACGCCAUAGAGGGUGAGAGCCCCGUACGGUCGGACGCCUAGCCUAUACAAAGCUCCUUCGACGAGUCGAGUAGUUUGGGAAUGCUGCUCAAAAUGGGAGGUAAAUUUCUUCUAAAGCUAAAUACCGGCCAGAGACCGAUAGCGCACAAGUAGAGUGAUCGAAAGAUGAAAAGCACUUUGAAAAGAGAGUUAAAAAGUACGUGAAAUUGUUGAAAGGGAAGCGCCUGUGACCAGACUUGCGCCCUACGGACCACCCAGCGUUCUCGCUGGUGCACUCUGCAGGGCGCAGGCCAGCAUCGGUUCUCCCAGGGGGAUAAAGGCCGCAGGAACGUAGCUCUUUCGGGAGUGUUAUAGCCUGUGGUGCCAUGCCUCUGAGGGGACCGAGG
RNAcentral lists this ribosomal RNA (537 nucleotides) under Ophiostoma sp. B TH-2011. RNAcentral describes it as "eukaryotic LSU rRNA". It matches the Rfam family "Eukaryotic large subunit ribosomal RNA", at positions 44 to 591 of the family's 3401-position model. The record is from RNAcentral. Lineage: Eukaryota; Fungi; Ascomycota; Sordariomycetes; Ophiostomatales; Ophiostomataceae.